This is a long non-coding RNA of Oreochromis niloticus (Nile tilapia), 381 nucleotides long. RefSeq lists it as uncharacterized. The record is from RefSeq and is a predicted model, not a curated record. The transcript is spliced from 3 exons. Lineage: Eukaryota; Metazoa; Chordata; Actinopteri; Cichliformes; Cichlidae.
UGUAGCAGUUUUUAAAGCACACAGUGACAAAGUGCUUCAAAGUUUGAAUAAAAUCACAUUACAAUAAGUGUACUUGCUAUACUUCUUCUUCUUCUUUCUUUAAACUUGUCUUGUUUCAUUUAUUUCUUUAGUUUUUAAUAAACAGUUUAGCUUUUCGUAACAUGAACGCUAACAUUUUCUCUUUCAGAUGCAGAUCCCAAAGCAAUAAUGAAAGAAAGGCAGAAGAAAGACAACCAUAACCUCACAGUUGAGAGGAGGCAUUGGUUCAACAUGCGAGUUGGGCACUUUGAUACCCGAGUCAUCAGACCCAGAGAUGCGCUGGAAUAAAGGCACCAUUCUCAAGGCUUCUGUAGACUACAUCAGGAAACUGCAGAAGGAGCA